GAUGAAGAACGUAGCGAAAUGCGAUACUUGGUGUGAAUUGCAGAAUCCCGUGAACCAUCGAGUCUUUGAACGCAAGUUGCGCCUCAAGCCAUUAGGUUGAGGGCACGUCUGCCUGGGCGUCACAUAUCGUUGCCUGAUGCCAGUUUCCUCGUGAUGGGUGACUGUGCAGGGCGAAUGAUGGCUUCCCGUGAGCAUUGUUGCCUCAUGGUUGGUUGAAAAUUGAGUCCUUGGUAGGGAGCGCCAUGAUAGAUGGUGGUUGAGUGACGAACGAGACCCAAUCAUGUGAGACCCCUACCGAAUUUGGCCUUCAUGACCCACAUGCGUCUUUGGAACGCUCAUGACGAGACCUCAGGUCAGGCGGGGCUACCCGCUGAGUUUAAGCAUAUCAAUAAGCGGAGGA
RNAcentral lists this unclassified non-coding RNA (400 nucleotides) under soil metagenome. Its description in RNAcentral is "partial contains 5.8S ribosomal RNA, internal transcribed spacer 2, and large subunit ribosomal RNA". The stretch from base 1 to 122 matches the Rfam family "5.8S ribosomal RNA", at positions 35 to 154 of the family's 154-position model. The record is from RNAcentral.